RNAcentral lists this transfer RNA (70 nucleotides) under Dipodomys ordii (Ord's kangaroo rat). It matches the Rfam family "tRNA". From Rfam's summary of the family: Transfer RNA (tRNA) molecules are approximately 80 nucleotides in length. Their secondary structure includes four short double-helical elements and three loops (D, anti-codon, and T loops). The record is from Rfam by way of RNAcentral. Lineage: Eukaryota; Metazoa; Chordata; Mammalia; Rodentia; Heteromyidae.
GGUAAGGUGGCUCAGUGGUAGAGUGCUUGCCUUGCAUGCCUGAGGCCCUGGGUUUGAUUCCCCAGCACCA